UUGAGCCUGUCUUGAGCUUUUGCUAUUGCUUUGUUCACCCAAUCAAGUUCAAGCAACACUUGGUCUCCAAGGUCUUUACAUUUUGUGCAUCCAAGGAGAGAGAGGCGUCAAGAUUGUCAAUUUCUAGUUUCAACUCUUUGGCCUUUGACUUGAUAGUGUCCACUUGAGCAUUGGCCUGACGAUUAGCCUGUCUAUCGUCUAUACACUUUUUGGCUCUCUGGACCUCAGAAUAGUGUGAUUCAGUGAAGGCUGCAGAAGUCAAUGAGGCCAUUAAUUCAUCUAUCACAUGAGUCCUGAUCUACCUAAAUAACCUUUGAAUCAGCUCAACAUUUUCUAGCAAUGUAGAUGUGUCUUGACGCAGCAGCUGUAGAAUGGUUGAUAGCUGAUCCUUUAUAACAGGAUUGUUCUGCACUGAAUGGCUU
Molecule: long non-coding RNA, 422 nt
Filed under: Setaria viridis
Lineage: Eukaryota; Viridiplantae; Streptophyta; Magnoliopsida; Poales; Poaceae
Description: long non-coding RNA (SVIR_LNC006982)
Source: RNAcentral